RNAcentral lists this ribosomal RNA (646 nucleotides) under uncultured bacterium. Its description in RNAcentral is "bacterial SSU rRNA". It matches the Rfam family "Bacterial small subunit ribosomal RNA", at positions 741 to 1398 of the family's 1533-position model. The record is from RNAcentral.
UGACGGUCAGACACGACAGCAUGGGGAGCGAACGGGAUUAGAAACCCCGGUAGUCCAUGCCGUAAACGAUGCUAACUAGGCGCUGCGGGACUCAACCCCUGCGGUGCCGCAGCUAACGCGAUAAGUUAGCCGCCUGGGGAGUACGGCCGCAAGGCUAAAACUCAAAGGAAUUGACGAGGGCCCGCACAAGCAGCGGAGCGUGUGGUUUAAUUCGAGGCUACACGAAGAACCUUACCUGGGUUUGACAUGCAGGUGGUAGGGAUGCGAAAGCAAACCGACCUUCGGGAGCCUGCACAGGUGCUGCAUGGCUGUCGUCAGCUCGUGCCGUGAGGUGUUAGGUUAAGUCCUGUAACGAGCGCAACCCCCGGAGUCAGUUACACGCAGUCUGGCUCAACUGCCCGUGACAAGCGGGAGGAAGGUGGGGAUGACGUCAAGUCAGCAUGGCCUUUAUAUCCAGGGCUACACACACGCUACAAUGGUCGGUACAAUGGGAAGCCAAGCCGUAAGGCGGAGCAAAUCCUAGCAAAGCCGGUCACAGUUCGGAUUGUGGGCUGCAACUCGCCCACAUGAAGUUGGAGUUGCUAGUAACCGCGCGUCAGCUAUAGUGCGGUGAAUACGUUCCCGGGCCUUGUACACACCGCCCGUA